Molecule: ribosomal RNA, 254 nt
Filed under: uncultured Rhodobacterales bacterium
Lineage: Bacteria; Pseudomonadati; Pseudomonadota; Alphaproteobacteria; Rhodobacterales
Description: partial 16S ribosomal RNA
Rfam family: Bacterial small subunit ribosomal RNA
Source: RNAcentral
AGCGUUGUUCGGAAUUACUGGGCGUAAAGCGCACGUAGGCGGAUCAGAAAGCUUGGGGGUGAAAUCCCCGGGGCUCAACCCUCGGAACUGCCUUCAAAACUAUUGGUCUUGAGUUCCGAGAGUAGGUGAGUGGAAUUCCGNAGUGUAGAGGUGAAAUUCGUAGAUAUUCUGGAGGAACACCAGUGGCGAAGGCGGCUCACUGGCUCGAUACUGACGCUGAGGUGCGAAAGCGUGGGGAGCAAACAGGAUUAGAU